Molecule: ribosomal RNA, 230 nt
Filed under: uncultured Gardnerella sp.
Lineage: Bacteria; Bacillati; Actinomycetota; Actinomycetes; Bifidobacteriales; Bifidobacteriaceae
Description: partial 16S ribosomal RNA
Rfam family: Bacterial small subunit ribosomal RNA
Source: RNAcentral
CCCCAUGUCCUCCAAGAAUAGCUCGUUGGAAACGGGUGGUAAUGCUGGAUGCUCCAACUUGACGCAUGUCUUGUUGGGAAAGUGUUUAGUGGCAUGGGAUGGGGUCGCGUCCUAUCAGCUUGUAGGCGGGGUAAUGGCCCACCUAGGCUUCGACGGGUAGCCGGCCUGAGAGGGCGGACGGCCACAUUGGGACUGAGAUACGGCCCAGACUCCUACGGGAGGCAGCAGAC